This 440-nucleotide ribosomal RNA is filed under the name uncultured bacterium. RNAcentral describes it as "partial 16S ribosomal RNA". It matches the Rfam family "Bacterial small subunit ribosomal RNA", at positions 338 to 795 of the family's 1533-position model. The record is from RNAcentral.
CCUACGGGAGGCAGCAGUGGGGAAUAUUGCACAAUGGGGGAAACCCUGAUGCAGCGACGCCGCGUGAGUGAAGAAGGAAUUCGUUAUGUAAAGCACUAUCAGCAGGGAAGAAAAUGACGGUACCUGAGUAAGUAGCCCCUGCUAAUUACGUGCCAGCAGCCGCGGUAAUACGUAGGGGGCAAGCGUGAGCCGGAUUUACUGGGUGUAAAGGGAGCGUAGGCGGCAGUGCAAGUCAGGAGUGAAAGGCGGGGGCUCAACCCCCGGAUUGCUCUGGAUACUGUACGGCUGGAGUGCAGGAGAGGGAGGUGGAAUUCCAUGUGUAGCGGUGAAAUGCGUAGAUAUGAGGAGGAACACCAGUGGCGAAGGCGGCUUACUGGACUGUAACUGACGUUGAGGCUCGAAAGCGUGGGGAGCAAACAGGAUUAGAUACCCCAGUAGUC